GUACGGAUGGUGCGAGCGUUGUUCGGAAUUACUGGGCGUAAAGGGCGCGUAGGCGGCGAUGUAAGUCAAAUGUGAAAGUCCUCGGCUUAACCGGGGAAGUGCAUCUGAAACUGCAUUGCUUGAGUAUGGGAGAGGAAAGUGGAAUUCCCGGUGUAGAGGUGAAAUUCGUAGAGAUCGGGAGGAAUACCGGUGGCGAAGGCGACUUUCUGGACCAAUACUGACGCUGAGGCGCGAAAGCGUGGGGAGCAAACAGGAUUAGAAACCCGAGUAGUCC
Molecule: ribosomal RNA, 274 nt
Filed under: uncultured bacterium
Lineage: Bacteria
Description: partial 16S ribosomal RNA
Rfam family: Bacterial small subunit ribosomal RNA
Source: RNAcentral